RNAcentral lists this small nuclear RNA (113 nucleotides) under Octodon degus (degu). Its description in RNAcentral is "U4 spliceosomal RNA (ENSODEG00000023022.1)". It matches the Rfam family "U4 spliceosomal RNA". Rfam says of the family: U4 small nuclear RNA (U4 snRNA) is a component of the major U2-dependent spliceosome. The structure of U4 snRNA from yeast and human has been reported. The record is from Rfam by way of RNAcentral. Lineage: Eukaryota; Metazoa; Chordata; Mammalia; Rodentia; Octodontidae.
AGCUUUGUGCAGUGGCAAUAUCAUAGCCAAUGAAGUUGAUCUGAGGCACGAUGAUUAUUAAUUAAAAUGAUCACAUUUUAAAAUUUAUAAAUUUAUUCAUCUGUUGGCAGACA